Molecule: transfer RNA, 74 nt
Filed under: Penaeus vannamei (Pacific white shrimp)
Lineage: Eukaryota; Metazoa; Arthropoda; Malacostraca; Decapoda; Penaeidae
Description: Litopenaeus vannamei (Pacific white shrimp) tRNA
Rfam family: tRNA
About the family: Transfer RNA (tRNA) molecules are approximately 80 nucleotides in length. Their secondary structure includes four short double-helical elements and three loops (D, anti-codon, and T loops). Further hydrogen bonds mediate the characteristic L-shaped molecular structure. tRNAs have two regions of fundamental functional importance: the anti-codon, which is responsible for specific mRNA codon recognition, and the 3' end, to which the tRNAs corresponding amino acid is attached (by aminoacyl-tRNA synthetases). tRNAs cope with the degeneracy of the genetic code in two manners: having more than one tRNA (with a specific anti-codon) for a particular amino acid; and 'wobble' base-pairing, i.e. permitting non-standard base-pairing at the 3rd anti-codon position.
Source: Rfam by way of RNAcentral
GCCUAGGUAGCUCAGUUGGGAGAGCGUUAGACUGAAGAUCUAAAGGUCCCCGGUUUCGAUCCCGGGUCUGGGCA